This 172-nucleotide non-coding RNA is filed under the name Pseudodesulfovibrio aespoeensis. The record is from RNAcentral. Lineage: Bacteria; Pseudomonadati; Thermodesulfobacteriota; Desulfovibrionia; Desulfovibrionales; Desulfovibrionaceae.
UGUAUAUCUGUUAAUCUUGAUAUAUGCAUAUGGCAAGAAACGGAAAACGGUGAAAAACCGUUGCGGACGCGCCGCUGUAACCGGCAAAACCCGCCCGCAUCCACCCGUCAGGGGAAGGGUGCGGGCAUGCAUGGGGCCGGGAGCCAGAAGACGUCUUGCCUGGAUGUGUUCC